AUGGAACAGGCGGCGUUUACGGGGCCAAACCCGGGACAGCGUUUCCCUUUUGCAACCCGCCCUGGCCCCGGGGCGGCGUUUUUCCACCCUUUUUCCACCCUUUCUUUCACCCUUUUUCCACCCUUUUCACCCUUCCUUUUUCACCCUUUUCCCCCCCCUUUUUCCACCCUUUUUCACCCUUUUCCCCCCCUUUUUUCACCCUUUUCCCCACCCUUUUUCCACCCUUUUCCCGUCCUUUUUCCACCCUUUUUUCACCCUUUUUUCACCCUUUUUUUCACCCUUUUUCCACCCUUUUUCACCCUUUUCCCCCCCUUUUUUCACCCUUUUUUCACCCUUUUUCCGCCCUUUUUCCGCCCUUUUUCCACCCUUUUUCACCCUUUUUUCACCCUUUUCCCACCCUUUUUUCACCCUUUUCCCACCCUUUUCCCGUCCUUUCCCCACCCUUUCCCCCCCCUUUUGUCACCCUUUUUUCACCCUUUUUCCACCCUUUUUCCGCCCUUUUCCCACCCUUUUCCACCCUUUUUUCCUCCCUUUUCCCUCCCUUUUUCCACCCUUUUUUCACCCUUUUCCCACCCUUUUUUCACCCUUUUUUCACCCUUUUCCCACCCUUUUCCCACCCUUUUCCCACCCUUUUUCACCCUUUUCCCAUCCUUUUUUCACCCUUUUCCCCACCCUUUUUCCACCCUUUUCCCGUCCUUUCCCCACCUUCCCCCCCCCCUUUUUCCACCCUUUUUUCACCCUUUUUCCUCCCUUUUUCCACCCUUUUUCACCCUUUUCCACCCUUUUUCCACCCUUUCCCCACCUUUUUCACCCUUUUUCCACCCUUUUUCCUCCCUUUCCCCACCCUUUUCCCACCCUUUUUUCACAUUUUUCCCCACCCUUUUUUCACCCUUUUCCCACCCUUUUCCCACCCUUUUUUCACCCUUUUUUCACCCUUUCCCCACCCUUUCCCCACCCUUUUCCCACCCUUUUCCCACCCUUUUCCCACCCUUUUCCCACCUUUUUCCCCACCCUUUUUUCCCCUUUUUCCCCACCCUUUUUUCACCCUUUUCCCACCCUUUUCCACCCUUUUUUCACCCUUUUCCCACCCUUUUCCCCCAUUUUUUUCCUCCCUUUUCCCUCCCUUUUUCCACCCUUUUUUCACCCUUUUCCCACCCUUUUUUCACCCUUUUUUCACCCUUUUCCCACCCUUUUCCCACCCUUUUUUCACCCUUUUUUCACCCUUUUCCCCACCCUUUUUCCACCCUUUUCCCGUCCUUUCCCCACCUUCCCCCCCCCCUUUUUCCACCCUUUUUUCACCCUUUUUCCUCCCUUUUUCCACCCUUUUUCACCCUUUUCCCACCCUUUUUCCACCCUUUUUCCUCCCUUUUCCCACCCUUUUUCCUCCCUUUUCCCACCCUUUUCCCACCCUUUUUUCACCCUUUUUUCACCCUUUUCCCACCCUUUUCCCACCCUUUUCCCACCCUUUUCCCACCCUUUUUUCACCCUUUUUUCACCCUUUUCCCACCCUUUUCCCACCCUUUUCCCACCCUUUUUUCACCCUUUUCCCCAUCCUUUUUUCACCCUUUUCCUACCCUUUUUUCACCCUUUUUCCACCCUUUUUCCACCCUUUUUCACCCUUUUCCACCCUUUUACCUCCCUUUUUCCACCCCUUUUUCACCCUUUCCCGCCCUUUUUUCACCCUUUUCCCACCCUUUUUCCACCCUUUUUCCCACCCUUUUCCCCCCUCUUUUCCACCCUUUUCCCACCCUUUUCCCACCCUUUUCCCACCCUUUUCCCACCCUUUUUUCACCCUUCCCCCCCCCUUUUUUCACCCUUUUUCCACCCUUUUUCCACACUUUUUCCACCCUUUUCCCACCCUUUUUUCACCCUUUUCCCCGCCUUUUUCCACCCUUUUCCCACCCUUUUCCCACCCUUUUUUCACCCUUUUCCCACCUUUUUUCCACCCUUUUUUCACCCUUUCCCCCCCCUUUUUCCACCCUUUUUCCACCCUUUUCCCACCCUUUUUUCACCCUUUUCCCACCCUUUUCCCACCCUUUCCCACCCUUUCCCACCCUUUUCGCUGGACGCGGCCGCUCGCGGGAUCAAAGGGGGCGCGGGGGCCUCCGGGGGUGGGUGGGGGACGGGACCUUGGCCAAAGCAGCGGCCAAAUCCCGGCCCCUCUCCCUGCCCCAUCCCUCCGGGAUGCGAUCCCACGGCGUGGGGGAGAGGGAGGGAGGGAGGGAGGAGGCACCUGGAAUGCUGAGAUUCCAUGGCGGGGUCCCAUUCCAACCCCCCCUCCCCAAAAUCUGGGUGCUGCCUGCGCCUGGGUGCUCCUUAUCCCGGAUUCUCCUUAUCCUGGGUGUUCCGUAUCCCUGGAUUUUCCCUGUCCCGGGUGUUCCUUAUCCCUGGAUUCUCCCUGUCCCGGGUGUUCCUUAUCCCUGGAUUCUCCCUGUCCUGGGUGUUCCUUAUCCCGCAUUUUCCCUGUCCUGGGUGUUCCUUAUCCCGCAUUUUCCCUGUCCGGGGUGUUCCUUAUCCUGGAUUCUCCCUGUCCCGGGUGUUCCUUAUCCCUGGAUUCUCCCUGUCCUGGGUGUUCCUUAUCCCGCAUUUUCCCUGUCCUGGGUGUUCCUUAUCCUGGAUUCUCCCUGUCCCGGGUGUUCCGUAUCCCUGGAUUCUCCCUGUCCUGGGUGUUCCUUAUCCCGCAUUUUCCCUGUCCCGGGUGUUCCUUAUCCCGGAUUCUCCUUAUCCUGGGUGCUGUUUUUUCCUGGGUCCUGCUUUUCCCCGCAUCCCGAUUUUCCCCGGGUGCCAGGAAUUGUCCCCACCGGGCUCCGCGUCCCAUUCCCAGGGAAACCCGCGGGAUGCUCCCAAGGCAGCGGGAGGGGAAGGGCCGGGAUCCGGGAUCCUGUGGGAAUGCGGGAAUGUGGGAAUCUGGGAAUGUGGGAAUGCGGGAAUGCGGGAGUGUGGGAAUGUGGGAAUGCGGGAAUCUGGGAAUGCGGGAAUGCGGGAAUGCGGGAAUCCGGGAAUGUGGGAAUCUGGGAUCCUGUGGGAAUCUGGGAUCCUGUGGGAAUAUGGGAUCCUGUGGGAAUGCGGGAAUCUGGGAAUCCGGGAUCCUGUGGGAAUGUGGGAAUGCGGGAAUGCGGGAUCCUGUGGGAAUGCGUGAAUCUGGGAAUGCGGGAAUGUGGGAAUGCGGGAAUGCGGGAAUGUGGGAAUCUGGGAAUGCGGGAUCCUGUGGGAAUGUGGGAAUGUGGGAAUGCGGGAAUGCGGGAAUGUGGGAAUCUGGGAAUGCGGGAUCCUGUGGGAAUGUGGGAAUGCGGGAAUGCGGGAAUGCGGGAAUCUGGGAAUCUGGGAAUGUGGGAAUGUGGGAAUGCGGGAGUGUGGGAAUGUGGGAAUGCGGGAGUGUGGGAAUGCGGGAAUGUGGUAAUGCGGGAAUGCGGGAAUGUGGGAAUCUGGGAAUGCGGGAAUGCGGGAAUACGGGAAUGCGGGAAUGUGGGAAUGCGGGAGUGUGGGAAUGUGGGAAUCUGGGAAUGUGGGAAUGCGGGAAUGUGGGAAUGCGGGAGUGUGGGAAUCUGGGAAUGUGGGAAUGCGGGAAUGCGGGAAUGUGGGAAUGUGGGAAUCUGGGAAUGUGGGAAUGCAUUCCGCCACCUGCUUGGCUUGGGGCGGGGCAGAGGGAAGCGGCUCCCGCUGCUAUUCCUGGAGCCGGGAAGGAAAACUGGGGGGGGAAAGGCGAAAAAAGGGGGGGAAACGGCAAAAAAAAAGAAGGAAAAAGAGGGGAAAGGGGGGGAAAAAGGGGGAAAAAGCGAAAAAUGAGAAUUGGGAUGGGAAAGGCUCAGCUGCUCCUUUCCCCCCCUCCUCCAGGCCCCAUUCCAAGCGGGAAUAGCAGAGCAGGGAAGGGAACGGGAGCCCGGAGCCGGCAGCUCCCGGCCCGCCCCGGUAAUUUGGGAUGGCCAGAUCCCAAAAAAAGAAAGAAAAAAAAAAAGAUGGGAAGAGGAUGCGCCAGCACGAGCAGGGAUGGAGAGGCUUUUUUUGGGAUAUUCCCUCUCUCCUCCCACAGCAUCCCCCCAAAAAAACCCCUAAAAACCCCACAGGGAAGCGGGAACUGGGGAAAAGGGGGUUCCAGCACCCCGUGAUCCCAAAUCCAUGAGCGCAGCCGGGAAUAAGGAGCUGGGGAAGGACCUCGGGAAGAGGAUUUUUGGGUUGGUUUUGUUUUUUUCUUCGGAAGAAUGGAAAAUGUAAUGACAGGGUCUGGAUGAAAAGAACAAA
Long non-coding RNA from Corvus moneduloides (New Caledonian crow), 4239 nucleotides. The record is from Ensembl. Lineage: Eukaryota; Metazoa; Chordata; Aves; Passeriformes; Corvidae.